This 483-nucleotide ribosomal RNA is filed under the name uncultured bacterium. RNAcentral describes it as "partial 16S ribosomal RNA". It matches the Rfam family "Bacterial small subunit ribosomal RNA", at positions 30 to 506 of the family's 1533-position model. The record is from RNAcentral.
AUUGAACGCUGGCGGCAGGCCUAACACAUGCAAGUCGAGCGGAUGAAGGGAGCUUGCUCCUGGAUUCAGCGGCGGACGGGUGAGUAAUGCCUAGGAAUCUGCCUGGUAGUGGGGGAUAACGUCCGGAAACGGGCGCUAAUACCGCAUACGUCCUGAGGGAGAAAGUGGGGGAUCUUCGGACCUCACGCUAUCAGAUGAGCCUAGGUCGGAUUAGCUAGUUGGUGGGGUAAAGGCCUACCAAGGCGACGAUCCGUAACUGGUCUGAGAGGAUGAUCAGUCACACUGGAACUGAGACACGGUCCAGACUCCUACGGGAGGCAGCAGUGGGGAAUAUUGGAAAAUGGGCGAAAGCCUGAUCCAGCCAUGCCGCGUGGGUGAAGAAGGUCUUCGGAUUGUAAAGCACUUUAAGUUGGGAGGAAGGGCAGUAAGUUAAUACCUUGCUGUUUUGACGUUACCAACAGAAUAAGCACCGGCUAACUUCGU